Molecule: microRNA, 21 nt
Filed under: Pteropus alecto (black flying fox)
Lineage: Eukaryota; Metazoa; Chordata; Mammalia; Chiroptera; Pteropodidae
Description: pal-miR-506-5p
Gene: pal-miR-506-5p
Source: miRBase by way of RNAcentral
UACUCAGGAAGGCAUCGUUCA